RNAcentral lists this ribosomal RNA (468 nucleotides) under uncultured bacterium. RNAcentral describes it as "partial 16S ribosomal RNA". It matches the Rfam family "Bacterial small subunit ribosomal RNA", at positions 28 to 507 of the family's 1533-position model. The record is from RNAcentral.
GACGAACGCUGGCGGCGUGCUUAACACAUGCAAGUCGAACGGAAAGGCCCUGCUUUUGUGGGGUGCUCGAGUGGCGAACGGGUGAGUAACACGUGAGUAACCUGCCCUUGACUUUGGGAUAACUUCAGGAAACUGGGGCUAAUACCGGAUAGGAGCUCCUGCUGCAUGGUGGGGGUUGGAAAGUUUCGGCGGUUGGGGAUGGACUCGCGGCUUAUCAGCUUGUUGGUGGGGUAGUGGCUUACCAAGGCUUUGACGGGUAGCCGGCCUGAGAGGGUGACCGGCCAAAUUGGGACUGAGAUACGGCCCAGACUCCUACGGGAGGCAGGAGGGGGGAAUAUUGCACAAUGGGCGGAAGCCUGAUGGAGCAACGCCGCGGGCGGGAUGACGGCCUUCGGGUUGUAAACCGCUUUCGCCUGUGACGAAGCGGGAGUGACGGUAAUGGGUAAAGGAGCACCGGCUAACUACGUG